Molecule: ribosomal RNA, 157 nt
Filed under: uncultured bacterium
Lineage: Bacteria
Description: partial 16S ribosomal RNA
Rfam family: Bacterial small subunit ribosomal RNA
Source: RNAcentral
GCAGAUCAGCAUGCUGCGGUGAAUACGUUCCCGGGCCUUGUACACACCGCCCGUCACACCAUGAGAGUCGAUAACACCCGAAGCCUGUAGUCUAACCAUAAGGAGGACGCAGUCGAAGGUGGGAUUGAUAAUUAGGGUGAAGUCGUAACAAGGUACC